RNAcentral lists this ribosomal RNA (536 nucleotides) under Salmonella enterica. RNAcentral describes it as "partial 23S ribosomal RNA". It matches the Rfam family "Bacterial large subunit ribosomal RNA", at positions 711 to 1244 of the family's 2925-position model. RNAcentral also lists the same sequence under 1 other name. Lineage: Bacteria; Pseudomonadati; Pseudomonadota; Gammaproteobacteria; Enterobacterales; Enterobacteriaceae. The record is from RNAcentral.
AGACCCGAAACCCGGUGAUCUAGCCAUGGGCAGGUUGAAGGUUGGGUAACACUAACUGGAGGACCGAACCGACUAAUGUUGAAAAAUUAGCGGAUGACCUGUGGCUGGGGGUGAAAGGCCAAUCAAACCGGGAGAUAGCUGGUUCUCCCCGAAAGCUAUUUAGGUAGCGCCUCGUGAAUUCAUCUCCGGGGGUAGAGCACUGUUUCGGCUAGGGGGCCAUCCCGGCUUACCAACCCGAUGCAAACUGCGAAUACCGGAGAAUGUUAUCACGGGAGACACACGGCGGGUGCUAACGUCCGUCGUGAAGAGGGAAACAACCCAGACCGCCAGCUAAGGUCCCAAAGUCAUGGUUAAGUGGGAAACGAUGUGGGAAGGCCCAGACAGCCAGGAUGUUGGCUUAGAAGCAGCCAUCAUUUAAAGAAAGCGUAAUAGCUCACUGGUCGAGUCGGCCUGCGCGGAAGAUGUAACGGGGCUAAACCAUGCACCGAAGCUGCGGCAGCGACGCUGAUGCGUUGUUGGGUAGGGGAGCGUUCUGU